Molecule: transfer RNA, 77 nt
Filed under: Operophtera brumata (winter moth)
Lineage: Eukaryota; Metazoa; Arthropoda; Insecta; Lepidoptera; Geometridae
Rfam family: tRNA
About the family: Transfer RNA (tRNA) molecules are approximately 80 nucleotides in length.
Source: Rfam by way of RNAcentral
CGUUCUAUGGCCGAAUCGGUCAAAGCAUUGCUUGCUGAUUAAAGGCGAAGAUGCGGGUUCGAGUUCCGCUGGAAUUA